Molecule: long non-coding RNA, 399 nt
Filed under: Capsicum annuum
Lineage: Eukaryota; Viridiplantae; Streptophyta; Magnoliopsida; Solanales; Solanaceae
Description: long non-coding RNA (CANN_LNC006242)
Source: RNAcentral
UCUUGGAGAUUAAAUUUAGAGAGAAACCUUAGUUUUUGUUUGUGCAAUAAUAAUGAGCAAAAUGGUUGAAUUCGAACUCAUCUGGGUAUAUAUAGGCGAGUGGUAAGUGAGCAAAAUACCCCUGUUAAAACGGCCUGGAAAUAAACUGAACGUGGCGUGUGACAACCCGACUAACGAUCCGUCAGGAAUUUGAUGGUCCAUCAUUUCGACCGUCAUACGUGGACCAGAAAUGGGGUUCACUAGAUAAGAGUUGACGGCCUGGAUGACGGUCCGUCAAAAAUCUGACGGUCCAUCAACUCGUCCGUCAAUCCUUAGACAGAACGUGGCCCUACUGCCUUGGCUGUGACGAUCAAAGUGGUGGUCCGUCACUUGUUUGGCCGUCCAUCAACUUGGACGUCG